UGGCAGUAGCUAUAUGAUUAUAUUUGACUGGAGAAGUUAAGUGGCUGGUUGUUGUAAAUCUAUUGGCCUAUCUGCUUACCCAACUUCUUACAUUU
Non-coding RNA from Nicotiana attenuata, 95 nucleotides. The record is from Rfam. Lineage: Eukaryota; Viridiplantae; Streptophyta; Magnoliopsida; Solanales; Solanaceae.